UACGGAGGGUGCGAGCGUUGUCCGGAAUUACUGGGCGUAAAGCGUGCGCAGGCGGCUUUGCAAGACAGAUGUGAAAUCCCCGGGCUCAACCCGGGAACUGCGUCCGAAACUGGCAGGCUCGAAUUCGGGAGAGGGAUGCGGGAAUUCCAGGUGUAGCGGUGAAAUGCGUAGAUAUCUGGAGGAACAUCGGUGGCGAAGGCGGCAUCCUGGACCGAUAUUGACGCUGAGGCGCGAAAGCCAGGGGAGCAAAGCGGG
RNAcentral lists this ribosomal RNA (255 nucleotides) under uncultured bacterium. Its description in RNAcentral is "partial 16S ribosomal RNA". It matches the Rfam family "Bacterial small subunit ribosomal RNA", at positions 524 to 777 of the family's 1533-position model. The record is from RNAcentral.